UGGGGAGAAAGUACCGCCAAUCGACACUGCAGCCAAUCCGGUGAAGAGAGCUAGGAAAGAAACAAGAGACGAUGUGCAGAAACAGAAACCAUCGCCUGUGAGCCUUGCCACCUCCAAGGACAGAGACCAGAAAGCUGAACUCGAGAGCAAGUUGGCCACCCCUGUUAGGAAAAGUGACGAAAGCAGGAACACCCAACCAGAAGAUCAGAAGAAGCCAGGAGGGGACAGAAAUUAUGCAGCAGCCGCGAAAAACAAAAACCAGCAGGCUGCUGCACUGGAGGCUACAAAGAGCACACAUGAUCCGGGGGACAGAGUCACGGUGUGCUUCCA
This 330-nucleotide long non-coding RNA is filed under the name Rattus norvegicus (Norway rat). RNAcentral describes it as "long non-coding RNA NONRATT005122". Lineage: Eukaryota; Metazoa; Chordata; Mammalia; Rodentia; Muridae. The record is from RNAcentral.